Molecule: small RNA, 18 nt
Filed under: Arabidopsis thaliana (thale cress)
Lineage: Eukaryota; Viridiplantae; Streptophyta; Magnoliopsida; Brassicales; Brassicaceae
Description: ATSL010950
Source: RNAcentral
UUCUCUCUCUCCUCUCUC